RNAcentral lists this unclassified non-coding RNA (280 nucleotides) under uncultured fungus. RNAcentral describes it as "partial contains 5.8S ribosomal RNA, internal transcribed spacer 2, and large subunit ribosomal RNA". Lineage: Eukaryota; Fungi. The record is from RNAcentral.
AACGCAUAUUGCGCCCCUUGGUAUUCUGAGGGGCAUGCCUGUUCGAGCGUCAUGAUCAAACCUCAAGCUCUUUUUGCUUGGUAUUGGGCUUUCGUCUGCUGUUAUACCACUGUAGUAGUAGUAUAUAUACGGUUUGGCGUGCCUGAAAAUCAAAUUGCGGUGCCUCAAAUGGACUCAAGUGUAGCAGGCUUACUCUCGCUUUGGAGAACUUUUGGUGGUGCUGUUGACUAAGAUAAUCAAUUUGGACCUCGGAUCAGGUAGGGAUACCCGCUGAACUUAA